AGAGUUUGAUCCUGGCUCAGGAUGAACGCUGGCGGUCUGCUUAACACAUGCAAGUCGAACGGACUCUUCGGAGUUAGUGGCGGACGGGUGAGUAACGCGUGAGAAUUUAGCUUCAGAAUGGGGACAACAGAGGGAAACCGCUGCUAAUACCCGAUGUGCCGAGAGGUGAAAGAUUUAUCGUCUGAAGAUGAGCUCGCGUCCGAUUAGCUAGUUGGUAGGGUAAGAGCCUACCAAGGCGACGAUCGGUAGCUGGUCUGAGAGGAUGACCAGCCACACUGGGACUGAGACACGGCCCAGACUCCUACGGGAGGCAGCAGUGGGGAAUUUUCCGCAAUGGGCGAAAGCCUGACGGAGCAAGACCGCGUGAGGGAGGAAGGCUCUUGGGUUGUAAACCUCUUUUCUCAAGGAAGAAGAUCUGACGGUACUUGAGGAAUCAGCAUCGGCUAACUCCGUGCCAGCAGCCGCGGUAAUACGGAGGAUGCAAGCGUUAUCCGGAAUUAUUGGGCGUAAAGCGUCCGUAGGUGGCCGUUCAAGUCUGCCGUUAAAACCAGUGGCUUAACCACUGACAGGCGGUGGAAACUGAAUAGCUAGAGUGUGGUAGGGGUAGAGGGAAUUCCCAGUGUAGCGGUGAAAUGCGUAGAGAUUGGGAAGAACACCGGUGGCGAAAGCGCUCUGCUGGACCACAACUGACACUCACAGGACGAAAGCUAGGGGAGCGAAAGGGAUUAGAUACCCCUGUAGUCCUAGCCGUAAACGAUGGAUACUAGGUGUUGUGAGUAUCGACCCUCACAGUGCCGGAGCCAACGCGUUAAGUAUCCCGCCUGGGGAGUACGCACGCAAGUGUGAAACUCAAAGGAAUUGACGGGGGCCCGCACAAGCGGUGGAGUAUGUGGUUUAAUUCGAUGCAACGCGAAGAACCUUACCAGGACUUGACAUGUCGCGAAUCUUGGGGAAACCUAAGAGUGCCUUCGGGAGCGCGAACACAGGUAGUGCAUGGCUGUCGUCAACUCGUGUCGCGAGAUGUUGGGUUAAGUCCCGCAACGAGCGCAACCCUCGUUUUUAGUUGCCAGCAUUAAGUUGGGCACUCUAAAGAGACUGCCGGUGACAAACCGGAGGAAGGUGGGGAUGACGUCAAGUCAGCAUGCCCCUUACGUCCUGGGCUACACACGUACUACAAUGCUACGGACAAAGGGCAGCAAGUAAGCGAUGACAAGCAAAUCCCAUAAACCGUGGCUCAGUUCAGAUUGUAGGCUGCAACUCGCCUACAUGAAGGCGGAAUCGCUAGUAAUCCCAGGUCAGCAUACUGCAGUGAAUCCGUUCCCGGGCCUUGUACACACCGCCCGUCACACCAUGGAAGCUGGCCACGCCCGAAGUCGUUACUCCAACUGGCAACAGAGGAGGACGCCGAAGGCAGGGCUGGUGACUGGGGUGAAGUCGUAACAAGGUAACC
RNAcentral lists this ribosomal RNA (1450 nucleotides) under uncultured bacterium. RNAcentral describes it as "bacterial SSU rRNA". It matches the Rfam family "Bacterial small subunit ribosomal RNA". The record is from RNAcentral.